GACGAACGCUGGCGGCGUGCUUAACACAUGCAAGUCGAACGGAAAGGCCCUGCUUUUGUGGGGUGCUCGAGUGGCGAACGGGUGAGUAACACGUGAGUAACCUGCCCUUGACUUUGGGAUAACUUCAGGAAACUGGGGCUAAUACCGGAUAGGAGCUCCUGCUGCAUGGUGGGGGUUGGAAAGUUUCGGCGGUUGGGGAUGGACUCGCGGCUUAUCAGCUUGUUGGUGGGGUAGUGGCUUACCAAGGCUUUGACGGGUAGCCGGCCUGAGAGGGUGACCGGCCACAUUGGGACUGAGAUACGGCCCAGACUCCUACGGGAGGCAGCAGUGGGGAAUAUUGCACAAUGGGCGGAAGCCUGAUGCAGCAACGCCGCGUGCGGGAUGACGGCCUUCGGGUUGUAAACCGCUUUCGCCUGUGACGAAGCGUGAGUGACGGUAAUGGGUAAAGAAGCACCGGCUAACUACGUGCCAGCAGCCGCGGUGAUACGUAGGGUGCGAGCGUUGUCCAGAUUUAUUGGGCGUAAAGGGCUCGUAGGUGGUUGAUCGCGUCGGAAGUGUAAUCUCGGGGCUUAACCCUGAGCGUGCUUUCGAUACGGGUUGACUUGAGGAAGGUAGGGGAGAAUGGAAUUCCUGGUGGAGCGGUGGAAUGCGCAGAUAUCAGGAGGAACACCAGUGGCGAAGGCGGUUCUCUGGGCCUUUCCUGACGCUGAGGAGCGAAAGCGUGGGGAGCGAACAGGCUUAGAUACCCUGGUAGUCCACGCUGUAAACGGUGGGUACUAGGUGUGGGGUCCAUUCCACGGGUUCCGUGCCGUAGCUAACGCUUUAAGUACCCCGCCUGGGGAGUACGGCCGCAAGGCUAAAACUCAAAGGAAUUGACGGGGCCCCGCACAAGCGGCGGAGCAUGCGGAUUAAUUCGAUGCAACGCGUAGAACCUUACCUGGGUUUGACAUGGAUCGGGAGUGCUCAGAGAUGGGUGUGCCUCUUUUGGGGUCGGUUCACAGGUGGUGCAUGGCUGUCGUCAGCUCGUGUCGUGAGAUGUUGGGUUAAGUCCCGCAACGAGCGCAACCCUUGUUCACUGUUGCCAGCACGUUAUGGUGGGGACUCAGUGGAGACCGCCGGGGUCAACUCGGAGGAAGGUGGGGAUGACGUCAAGUCAUCAUGCCCCUUAUGUCCAGGGCUUCACGCAUGCUACAAUGGCUGGUACAGAGAGUGGCGAGCCUGUGAGGGUGAGCGAAUCUCGGAAAGCCGGUCUCAGUUCGGAUUGGGGUCUGCAACUCGACCUCAUGAAGUCGGAGUCGCUAGUAAUCGCAGAUCAGCAACGCUGCGGUGAAUACGUUCCCGGG
Molecule: ribosomal RNA, 1343 nt
Filed under: uncultured bacterium
Lineage: Bacteria
Description: 16S ribosomal RNA
Rfam family: Bacterial small subunit ribosomal RNA
Source: RNAcentral